RNAcentral lists this long non-coding RNA (358 nucleotides) under Marmota monax (woodchuck). The record is from RNAcentral. Lineage: Eukaryota; Metazoa; Chordata; Mammalia; Rodentia; Sciuridae.
GAGAAGAAACAGAUAAAACCAGGGCGGAGGGUAAAAAGGUGCCCCGCUCCUCUCGGAAUCCAGAGGCCGCCGCCGCCGCCGCCGCCGCGCCAGGGGGGUGGGCUCCGGAAGAGCCAGCCCAGCGGGGAAGAGGGAGGACCGACCGGGAGCGCGAUCCUGCAGGCGGGGAAGAGACAGAGGCGCUAAGGAAAAGUGACUUGGGCCGUGCGCCCCGGCGGAACUAGGGACUGAAGCUGCGGAGGGGCCCCCACCAAUUCUCCCCAACUUCCUCGGAGGGGGCAAACCCUGGCCCGCCCCUAAGGGCGAUAGGCAAUGAGAUAAUCCAGCUGAGCGGGGAAAGGAGAGCGUCUGGCGCUGG